RNAcentral lists this ribosomal RNA (1446 nucleotides) under uncultured marine cyanobacterium. RNAcentral describes it as "bacterial SSU rRNA". It matches the Rfam family "Bacterial small subunit ribosomal RNA". Lineage: Bacteria; Bacillati; Cyanobacteriota. The record is from RNAcentral.
GAGUUUGAUCCUGGCUCAGGAUGAACGCUGGCGGCGUGCUUAACACAUGCAAGUCGAACGAACCUUCGGGUUAGUGGCGGACGGGUGAGUAACGCGUGAGAAUCUGCCCUCAGGAGGGGGAUAACGGCUGGAAACGGCCGCUAAUACCCCAUAUGCCGCGAGGUGAAAUGAAUUUCGCCUGAGGAUGAGCUCGCGUCUGAUUAGCUAGUUGGUGUAGGUAAUGGCUCACCAAGGCAUCGAUCAGUAGCUGGUCUGAGAGGAUGAUCAGCCACACUGGGACUGAGACACGGCCCAGACUCCUACGGGAGGCAGCAGUGGGGAAUUUUCCGCAAUGGGCGCAAGCCUGACGGAGCAACGCCGCGUGAGGGAUGAAGGCCUCUGGGCUGUAAACCUCUUUUAUCAAGGAAGAAGAUCUGACGGUACUUGAUGAAUAAGCCACGGCUAAUUCCGUGCCAGCAGCCGCGGUAAUACGGGAGUGGCAAGCGUUAUCCGGAAUUAUUGGGCGUAAAGCGUCCGCAGGCGGCCCUUCAAGUCUGCUGUUAAAACGUGGAGCUUAACUCCAUCAUGGCAGUGGAAACUGUUGGGCUUGAGUGUGGUAGGGGCAGAGGGAAUUCCCGGUGUAGCGGUGAAAUGCGUAGAUAUCGGGAAGAACACCAGUGGCGAAGGCGCUCUGCUGGGCCAUCACUGACGCUCAUGGACGAAAGCCAGGGGAGCGAAAGGGAUUAGAUACCCCUGUAGUCCUGGCCGUAAACGAUGAACACUAGGUGUCGGGGGAAUCGACCCCUUCGGUGUCGUAGCCAACGCGUUAAGUGUUCCGCCUGGGGAGUACGCACGCAAGUGUGAAACUCAAAGGAAUUGACGGGGGCCCGCACAAGCGGUGGAGUAUGUGGUUUAAUUCGAUGCAACGCGAAGAACCUUACCAGGGUUUGACAUCCUGCGAAUCUCUUGGAAACGAGAGAGUGCCUUCGGGAGCGCAGUGACAGGUGGUGCAUGGCUGUCGUCAGCUCGUGUCGUGAGAUGUUGGGUUAAGUCCCGCAACGAGCGCAACCCACGUCUUUAGUUGCCAGCAUUUAGUUGGGCACUCUAGAGAGACCGCCGGUGAUAAACCGGAGGAAGGUGUGGAUGACGUCAAGUCAUCAUGCCCCUUACAUCCUGGGCUACACACGUACUACAAUGCUACGGACAAAGGGCAGCAAGUUCGCGAGGACAAGCAAAUCCCAUAAACCGUGGCUCAGUUCAGAUUGUAGGCUGCAACUCGCCUACGUGAAGUAGGAAUCGCUAGUAAUCGCAGGUCAGCAUACUGCGGUGAAUACGUUCCCGGGCCUUGUACACACCGCCCGUCACACCAUGGAAGUUGGCCACGCCCGAAGCCGUUACUCCAACCCUUGUGGAGGAGGACGUCGAAGGUGGGGCUGAUGACUGGGGUGAAGUCGUAACAAGGUAACC